GACGAACCGUGCGAACGUUGUUCGGAUUCACUGGGCUUAAAGGGCGCGUAGGCGGGCUUGUAAGUCAGGGGUGAAAUCCUCCGGCUCAACCGGAGAACAGCCUUUGAUACUGCAAGUCUUGAGGGAGAUAGGGGUCUGCGGAACUUCCGGUGGAGCGGUGAAAUGCGUAGAUAUCGGAAGGAACGCCGGUGGCGAAAGCGGCGGACUGGAUCUCAUCUGACGCUGAGGCGCGAAAGCUAGGGGAGCGAACGGG
This 253-nucleotide ribosomal RNA is filed under the name uncultured bacterium. Its description in RNAcentral is "partial 16S ribosomal RNA". It matches the Rfam family "Bacterial small subunit ribosomal RNA", at positions 524 to 776 of the family's 1533-position model. The record is from RNAcentral.